UAACGACUCUCGGCAACGGAUAUCUCGGCUCUCGCAUCGAUGAAGAACGUAGCGAAAUGCGAUACUUGGUGUGAAUUGCAGAAUCCCGCGAAUCAUCGAGUCUUUGAACGCAAGUUGCGCCCGAAGCCAUUCGGCCGAGGGCACGUCUGCCUGGGUGUCACG
This 162-nucleotide ribosomal RNA is filed under the name Juglans nigra (black walnut). Its description in RNAcentral is "5.8S ribosomal RNA". It matches the Rfam family "5.8S ribosomal RNA". Rfam says of the family: 5.8S ribosomal RNA (5.8S rRNA) is a component of the large subunit of the eukaryotic ribosome. It is transcribed by RNA polymerase I as part of the 45S precursor that also contains 18S and 28S rRNA. RNAcentral also lists the same sequence under 5 other names. Lineage: Eukaryota; Viridiplantae; Streptophyta; Magnoliopsida; Fagales; Juglandaceae. The record is from RNAcentral.